UGCGUAGGCGGUUUGGUAAGUCUUAUGUGAAAUCUACAGGCUCAACUUGUAGUCUGCAUGAGAAACUGCCGGGCUUGAGUAUGGGAGAGGUGAGUGGAAUUUCCGGUGUAGCGGUGAAAUGCGUAGAUAUCGGAAGGAACACCUGUGGCGAAAGCGGCUCACUGGACCAUAACUGACGCUGAUGCACGAAAGCUGGGGGAGCAAACAGGAUUAGAUACCCUGGUAGUCCUAGCCCUAAACGAUGACUGCUUGGUGUGACGGGUACCCAAUCCCGCCGUGCCGUAGCUAACGCGUUAAGCAGUCCGCCUGGGGAGUACGGUCGCAAGGCUGAA
RNAcentral lists this ribosomal RNA (332 nucleotides) under uncultured bacterium. RNAcentral describes it as "bacterial SSU rRNA". It matches the Rfam family "Bacterial small subunit ribosomal RNA", at positions 568 to 898 of the family's 1533-position model. The record is from RNAcentral.